GGAAGACAAGCCAAGUCAAGUGCAGCGUCAGGUACACACACACCACACACGCAUAGAUAAUUUCCAUCCUCUCCUUGCGGCCCUGCAGUUUGCGUACGUGUUUUGGUGAAGGGGAUUACCACAGACCGGCCGGAUCGCUCCACCCCACUCUCGCGCUACUCCUCGUCUCUCCGUGGGUGUCCGAGCUUCACCCCUACACCUACUCCUCGUCUCGCCGGCCAGCCAUCUUCUCUUCUGCUGCACAUCGAAUCCCGCCAGAUACGGCCGGCAUGGGCUUACUUCGAUUAGCCACUCAUCUUUUCAGGGUGUAGGUUUAGGUUGGCUACACCGAAUUCCGCGGGUUCAACGCAGAAUUAUUGACAGAUCAAGCUCUGAGCGCGGCGACGGCUCCAACUGCAACCGCACUGCUAACCGAGCUCGCUCUCGCUCCGAGUUGCAACUAGUGAAUAAAUUCCAGAUCCCGCUAGGCUAGGGUCUAGACUUGGCGCAAACUUUCCUGUUCAAUCACUGGCCGUGCAUUCGAGCUCUGUGGCCAUGGAGGCGGCUCUAGUGACUGUGGCGACGGGGGUCCUCAAACCUGUCCUCAGGAAGCUGGCCACCCUGCUCGGCGACGAGUACAAGCGUUUUAAGGGUGUGCGCAAGGAGAUCGGGUCUCUCACUCGUGAACUCGCCGCCAUGGAGGCUUUUAUCCUCAAGAUGUCGGAGGAGGAGGAGGAUCCCGAUGUGCAGGGUAAAGUCUGGAUGACUGAGGUGCGGGAAUUGUCCUAUGAUCUGGAGGAUGCCAUCGAUGACUUCAUGCAAAGUGUUGGUGACAAAGACGAAAAGCCAGAUGGCUUCAUUGAGAAGAUCAAGAGCUCGCUAGGGAAGUUGGGGAAGAUGAAGGCUCGCCACCAAAUCGGCAAGGAGAUUCAGGAUCUGAAGAAACAGAUCAUUGAGGUGGGCGAUAGGAACGCAAGGUACAAGGGUCGUGAGACCUUCUCCAAUACCAAAAAUGCGACCGUUGACCCUAGAGCUCUUGCUGUAUUUGAGCAUGCAUCGAAGCUUGUUGGAAUCGAUGAACCCAGGGCUGAGUUGAUCAAGUUGUUAACUGACGAGGAUGGAGUUGCAUCAACACAACAACACGUGAAGAUGGUCUCCAUUGUUGGAUCGGGAGGAAUGGGCAAAACAACUCUUGCAAACCAAGUGUAUCAAGAGCUAAAAGAGAAAUUCAAGUGUAAGGCUUUCAUAUCUGUGUCACGAAAUCCAGAUAUGACGAAUAUCUUGAGAACCAUUCUCAGUGAAGUCAGUGGCCAAGCUUAUGCUAGCACAAAAGCAGGGACUAUACAACAACUCAUCGGCAAGAUCACCAAUGUUCUAGCACACAAAAGAUCUGGUGGUUGCCAUCGAUGGCUUGUACAGGCGAUGUUUUCGGAUGCAACAGGAAGGCUCCGUUCUGGCAGUGAGAUGCAAUCUAUGGACAACAGCUUGAUGUAGAGAGUAUGGUUGUGCAACGGUCGUGACGAGAUUUCUAGCGUAUCACAUGUAGAUGUUGGAAUCGUGGAAAUCGGUGGCGACAACACAUGAUUGACUUUGAUUUGGUGGUCUUUUGAGCACUCUGUCUGGAGCUCCAGGAUGAAAACCCUAGGUCUGACUUAAUAUGGUUAUACCUGGCAAUGACAAUUUUUUUGCAGUAUUACCUUGUUGUUGUUGAGGGCAUUGCCCGGUUAUACUCGGACUUGUUCUUCAAAGUGAAAACUUAGAAUCUGGCCUUUGGUGGUUUGAUCUAAUGUCGACGACAAUUGAGUGGCGCUCCCUUAUUGAAGGUGUUGCUAUUGAAAAACUUUGUUGUCCUUGUGGUGUCAAGAGAUGGUUGGUGCAGAUAUGGUCAUUGAUGUAGUUUGUUAAUCAUUUUUUUGAUU
RNAcentral lists this ribosomal RNA (1898 nucleotides) under Triticum aestivum (bread wheat). Its description in RNAcentral is "partial small subunit ribosomal RNA". The record is from RNAcentral. Lineage: Eukaryota; Viridiplantae; Streptophyta; Magnoliopsida; Poales; Poaceae.